UCAUCAAUGGAGUAGUGGUAACCUGGGUCGUUGCCAUGAACGGCAUAUUGCAACAGGCGACUUUAUCGACCCGCCGAGGGUUCGAUUCCCUCUUGAUGUA
This is a non-coding RNA of Armillaria fumosa, 100 nucleotides long. Lineage: Eukaryota; Fungi; Basidiomycota; Agaricomycetes; Agaricales; Physalacriaceae. The record is from the annotation of a GenBank genome assembly.